This 87-nucleotide transfer RNA is filed under the name Acidobacteriota bacterium. RNAcentral's name for it is "Acidobacteria bacterium tRNA-Leu". It matches the Rfam family "tRNA". From Rfam's summary of the family: Transfer RNA (tRNA) molecules are approximately 80 nucleotides in length. Their secondary structure includes four short double-helical elements and three loops (D, anti-codon, and T loops). The record is from RNAcentral. RNAcentral also lists the same sequence under 2 other names. Lineage: Bacteria; Pseudomonadati; Acidobacteriota.
GCCGGAGUGGCGGAAUGGCAGACGCAGCGGACUCAAAAUCCGCCGCCCCCUGCGGGCGUGUGGGUUCGACUCCCAUCUCCGGCACCA